GGGGAAUAUUGGGCAAUGGGGGAAACCCUGACCCAGCAACGCCGCGUGAGGGAAGAAGGCUUUCGGGUCGUAAACCUCUGUCCCAUGGGAAGAGCAGAAGACGGUACCAUGGGAGGAAGCCCCGGCUAACUACGUGCCAGCAGCCGCGGUAAUACGUAGGGGGCGAGCGUUGUCCGGAAUGACUGGGCGUAAAGGGCGCGUAGGUGGCCUUUCAAGUCUGGAGUGAAAGUCCCGCUUUCAAGGUGGGAAUGGCUUUGGAAACUGAGAGGCUUGAGUGUGGGAGAGGAUAGCGGAAUUCCCGGUGUAGCGGUGAAAUGCGUAGAGAUCGGGAGGAACACCAGUGGCGAAGGCGGCUAUCUGGACCAAGACUGACACUGAAGCGCGAAAGCGUGGGUAGCAAAC
RNAcentral lists this ribosomal RNA (402 nucleotides) under uncultured bacterium. RNAcentral's name for it is "bacterial SSU rRNA". It matches the Rfam family "Bacterial small subunit ribosomal RNA", at positions 356 to 773 of the family's 1533-position model. The record is from RNAcentral.